CCAAAGUGGGGAAGACCUCCCUGAUCAUGUCACUUGUCAGUGAGGAAUUCCCUGAUGAGGUUCCUCUCAGAGCUGAAGAGAUCACUAUUCCAGCUGAUGUCACACCUGAGAGAGUGCCCACUCAUAUAGUGGACUAUUCAGAAGCAGAACAGUCAGAUGAGCAGCUUUACCAAGAAAUAUCAAAGGCCAAUGUUAUAUGCAUUGUAUAUUCAGUAAACAACAAGAAAUCAAUUGAAAAGGUAAGUCUUCUUGU
Sinocyclocheilus grahami is the source of this 253-nucleotide long non-coding RNA. RefSeq lists it as uncharacterized. Lineage: Eukaryota; Metazoa; Chordata; Actinopteri; Cypriniformes; Cyprinidae. The record is from RefSeq and is a predicted model, not a curated record. The transcript has 4 exons.